GACAGAGGUGCCAAGCGUUAGGCGGAAUUACUGGGCGUAAAGCGUGCGCAGGCGGUUAUGUAAGACAGGUGUGAAAUCCCCGGGCUUAACCUGGGAACUGCAUUUGUGACUGCAUAGCUAGAGUACGGUAGAGGGGGAUGGAAUUCCGCGUGUAGCAGUGAAAUGCGUAGAUAUGCGGAGGAACACCGAUGGCGAAGGCAAUCCCCUGGGCCUGCACUGACGCUCAUGCACGAAAGCGUGGGGAGCAAACAGG
This 253-nucleotide ribosomal RNA is filed under the name uncultured bacterium. RNAcentral describes it as "partial 16S ribosomal RNA". It matches the Rfam family "Bacterial small subunit ribosomal RNA", at positions 524 to 776 of the family's 1533-position model. The record is from RNAcentral.